Molecule: ribosomal RNA, 252 nt
Filed under: uncultured bacterium
Lineage: Bacteria
Description: partial 16S ribosomal RNA
Rfam family: Bacterial small subunit ribosomal RNA
Source: RNAcentral
UACGGAGGGUGCAAGCGUUGUUCGGAAUUAUUGGGCGUAAAGGGUGCGUAGGCGGCCUGACAAGUCAGAGGUGAAAGGCUACGGCUUAACCGUAGUAAGCCUUUGAAACUGAUGGGCUGGAGUUCUGGAGAGGGUGGCGGAAUUCCCGGUGUAGGAGUGAAAUCCGUAGAUAUUGGGAGGAACACCGGUGGCGAAGGCGGCUACCUGGACCGAUACUGACGCUGAGACGCGAAAGCGUGGGGAGCAAACAGG